AUACGGAGGGAGCGAGCGUUAAUCGGAAUUACUGGGCGUAAAGCGCGCGUAGGCGGCUUUGUAAGUCGGAUGUGAAAGCCCCGGGCUCAACCUGGGAAUUGCAUUCGAUACUGCAGAGCUAGAGUAUGGUAGAGGGAAGUGGAAUUUCCGGUGUAGCGGUGAAAUGCGUAGAUAUCGGAAGGAACACCAGUGGCGAAGGCGACUUCCUGGGCCAAUACUGACGCUGAGGUGCGAAAGCGUGGGGAGCAAACAGGAUUAGAAACCCCAGUAGUCC
This 274-nucleotide ribosomal RNA is filed under the name uncultured bacterium. RNAcentral describes it as "partial 16S ribosomal RNA". It matches the Rfam family "Bacterial small subunit ribosomal RNA", at positions 523 to 796 of the family's 1533-position model. The record is from RNAcentral.